Molecule: transfer RNA, 76 nt
Filed under: bacterium
Lineage: Bacteria
Description: tRNA-Arg
Rfam family: tRNA
About the family: Transfer RNA (tRNA) molecules are approximately 80 nucleotides in length. Their secondary structure includes four short double-helical elements and three loops (D, anti-codon, and T loops).
Source: RNAcentral
GCGCCCGUAGCUCAGUGGAUAGAGCACUUGACUACGAAUCAAGGUGUCGCAGGUUCGACUCCUGCCGGGCGCGCCA